This 253-nucleotide unclassified non-coding RNA is filed under the name plant metagenome. RNAcentral describes it as "partial contains small subunit ribosomal RNA, internal transcribed spacer 1, and 5.8S ribosomal RNA". The stretch from base 1 to 54 matches the Rfam family "Eukaryotic small subunit ribosomal RNA", at positions 1778 to 1831 of the family's 1831-position model. The record is from RNAcentral.
GGAAGUAAAAGUCGUAACAAGAUCUCCGUUGGUGAACCAGCGGAGGGAUCAUUACAGAGUUGCAAAACUCCCAAACCAUUGUGAACGUUACCUAUCCCGUUGCUUCGGCGGGCGGCCCGGGCCCCGCGCCCGGCGCCCCCCGGCCCCCCGUGGGCGCCCGCCGGAGGUAAACCAAACCCUUGAAUUGCAUGGCCUCUCUGAGUCUUCUGUACUGAAUAAGUCAAAACUUUCAACAACGGAUCUCUUGGUUCUG